UGAGUAACCUGCCCUUAACUCUGGGAUAAGCCUGGGGAAAACUGGGUCUAAUACCGGAUAUGACUCCUCAUCGCAUGGUGGGGGGUGGAAAGCUUUUUGUGGUUUUGGAUGGACUCGCGGCCUAUCAGCUUGUUGGUGAGGUAAUGGCUCACCAAGGCGACGACGGGUAGCCGGCCUGAGAGGGUGACCGGCCACACUGGGACUGAGACACGGCCAGACUCCUACGGGAGCAG
This 233-nucleotide ribosomal RNA is filed under the name uncultured bacterium. Its description in RNAcentral is "partial 16S ribosomal RNA". It matches the Rfam family "Bacterial small subunit ribosomal RNA", at positions 118 to 347 of the family's 1533-position model. The record is from RNAcentral.